RNAcentral lists this ribosomal RNA (253 nucleotides) under uncultured bacterium. RNAcentral's name for it is "partial 16S ribosomal RNA". It matches the Rfam family "Archaeal small subunit ribosomal RNA", at positions 474 to 727 of the family's 1478-position model. The record is from RNAcentral.
UACCAGCACCCCGAGUGGGCGGGACGAUUAUUGGGCCUAAAGCAUCCGUAGCCGGUUCUACAAGUCUUCCGUUAAAUCCACCUGCUCAACAGAUGGGCUGCGGAGGAUACUAUAGAGCUAGGAGGCGGGAGAGGCAAGCGGUACUUAGUGGGUAGGGGUAAAAUCCGUUGAUCCAUUGAAGACCACCAGUGGCGAAGGCGGCUUGCCAGAACGCACUCGACGGUGAGGGAUGAAAGCUGGGGGAGCAAACCGG